UCUCUCUGAAUCUGCGUACGGCUCCGCAAACCAGUUGUAAACUAUAGCAAGCAUGCCUGGGUUCCCUUCACGGGGAGCUUGGGCGAUACGGAUAACCCUGGUAAUUCUGAGGCUAAUACGAGAACGUAAUCCCUGGCUGACCCUCCGUGGAAGGCUGGGAAACGUGCGAUGUAUUUCGUUAGGUUUUACUGGGAAAAGACGCACGUUUGGACCGCGCAAAAAAGGACGUUGUGGGCCUACCCUCACGGGAAAGCCUGCUUCGCCCCAGCGGCUCUUGCGGUGUGCUUCUGACCUAUCAACUAGACGGCAGCGUAACGGACAUGCUAUGGUUACAACGGGUACAGAGGAUUAGGGUUCGAUCCUGGAGAGUGGGCCUGAGAGAUUGAGC
Molecule: ribosomal RNA, 388 nt
Filed under: uncultured myxomycete
Lineage: Eukaryota; Evosea; Eumycetozoa
Description: bacterial SSU rRNA
Rfam family: Eukaryotic small subunit ribosomal RNA
Source: RNAcentral